AAUGAUUGGAAGAGAGAUUGAAACUGAUGACUUGGUGCAAUUCAUCCUCAACUAAAUCCAGUUCACCUCUAAGUCAAGACAACUGACCCAUGCCCACAACAUUGUCAUGUCAUUGCUCUUCUUCAAAAACAAAAGAAGAACAAUAAUACUCUUCUACGCCAGGUCUCAGACCUCAUUUCAUUAGUUCUUCACAACAACCAUAUAAGAGUAGAGAAGUCCUUCAUCCUCAGAGAGAAGCAGCAAAAGCUUCUGCUCAUCCUUGAAUCAGGAGUUUUAAAGAUACUGACAGUUCAGCUCAGCAGCUAAUGAAAUAAAGGAAUGCUCCCAACCACAUGCUACCAUCUACUGGUGAUUGGUACCCCUACAAAACUGCUCCCUGAAGUUUCUACCACACUAAGGCAUGUCUUCAUAUUGACCUUGGAUCACUUGGAGAAUAAAAGAGUUCUGUGAGAUAUGUAAAAAAUUUGGGGAUAUAUCUUCCAAAUGAAUGCCAUUUUUACAUAUU
Molecule: non-coding RNA, 505 nt
Organism: Monodelphis domestica (gray short-tailed opossum)
Lineage: Eukaryota; Metazoa; Chordata; Mammalia; Didelphimorphia; Didelphidae
Source: RefSeq, a predicted model, not a curated record